This 253-nucleotide ribosomal RNA is filed under the name uncultured bacterium. Its description in RNAcentral is "partial 16S ribosomal RNA". It matches the Rfam family "Bacterial small subunit ribosomal RNA", at positions 524 to 776 of the family's 1533-position model. The record is from RNAcentral.
UACGGAGGAUCCGAGCGUUAUCCGGAUUUAUUGGGUUUAAAGGGAGCGUGGGCGGGUUGUUAAGUCAGUUGUGAAAGUUUGCGGCUCAACCGUAAAAUUGCAGUUGAUACUGGCAUCCUUGAGUACAGUAGAGGUAGGCGGAAUUCGUGGUGUAGCGGUGAAAUGCUUAGAUAUCACGAAGAACUCCGGUUGCGAAGGCAGCCUGCUGGACUGUAACUGACGCUGAUGCUCGAAAGUGUGGGUAUCAAACAGG